AGGAAAAGGCUCUGGGCGUCUCCCUGCUACCUGGGGACUGGCUCUACCCCAGGAAGUUGGCAUUCUUGGCUGAGGGGACUCAUGGAAGGAGCCACUUUCUCCUGGUGAAGAGCUUGUGGCACCAAGAGGCAGGCACAUCUCUGCUGCUUUUUGACCAAGGAAUAAGCGGGUCGAUGGCUUCAUCUCUAGAGAAGAAGCAGCUAAAAUGGCUGAGAGAACCUGGGAAGGAGAGAUGCAGCCAGAUCUGCUUCUGCUCCCCAGGCCCCUCAUUCUGGAAUCCUGGGAAGUCCAUCCUGAAGUCUAGCUUUGAAC
Molecule: non-coding RNA, 312 nt
Organism: Castor canadensis (American beaver)
Lineage: Eukaryota; Metazoa; Chordata; Mammalia; Rodentia; Castoridae
Source: RefSeq, a predicted model, not a curated record